GCCGUGGUGGCGGAAUGGUAGACGCAGGCGACUUAAAAUCGCCCGGGUUAUCCCGUGCGGGUUCGAGUCCCGCCCUCGGCA
This 81-nucleotide transfer RNA is filed under the name Myxococcales bacterium. RNAcentral's name for it is "tRNA-Leu". It matches the Rfam family "tRNA". Rfam says of the family: Transfer RNA (tRNA) molecules are approximately 80 nucleotides in length. Their secondary structure includes four short double-helical elements and three loops (D, anti-codon, and T loops). Further hydrogen bonds mediate the characteristic L-shaped molecular structure. tRNAs have two regions of fundamental functional importance: the anti-codon, which is responsible for specific mRNA codon recognition, and the 3' end, to which the tRNAs corresponding amino acid is attached (by aminoacyl-tRNA synthetases). tRNAs cope with the degeneracy of the genetic code in two manners: having more than one tRNA (with a specific anti-codon) for a particular amino acid; and 'wobble' base-pairing, i.e. permitting non-standard base-pairing at the 3rd anti-codon position. Lineage: Bacteria; Pseudomonadati; Myxococcota; Myxococcia; Myxococcales. The record is from RNAcentral.